This 1195-nucleotide long non-coding RNA is filed under the name Equus caballus (horse). RNAcentral's name for it is "lncRNA (ENSECAG00000047194.1)". The record is from RNAcentral. Lineage: Eukaryota; Metazoa; Chordata; Mammalia; Perissodactyla; Equidae.
AGCACUUUCCCGCUAGGCGCCCGAUGCGCACUGCAGAGCUCAGGGUCCGGCAGCGCCUCGCAGGCCCGCACCCCGGGCUCUGGCCGCGCCCGAGUACACGUGCGCCUCAGGCCCCGCCCACAGGAGCCCUGGCCACGCCCCUCGCUCAACCACUGCGCGUCCCGUGGACCCUGAUGCGGUGAUCUCAGGAGACCCUCAGCUGCUGCGGUUCCUGGGUUCCUGCUGGACUUCGUCUCCUGUGCCAUCAUUAAAGGUUUCACCUCUGCUGCUACCAUCACCAUGGACUUUGGGCAGAUCCAGUUUGAUCCUGAAGGCAUCUGUCACUUCUGGAAUCCACUCCAACGACGAGGAGGAGAGUCACUUCAAUGCCUCUGAAAUGGAACCUUCAGGAGUUUUUAGUUAUAAAUCUUGGAAUCUGGAAGAUUCAAUUCAUGAUUGCAAAAUAUUUAUUUCCUAAUAUUUUGUUUUGUCAUAAACUGAUGCUUUUGAAAGAGAUCUCAUUAAUUGGGCUGUUUGACGUCUCUCUGGGGUGGAGCAGUAAUAAACGCGAGUCCACAUUCAUGUUCGGGGUGCAGAUCCACAUGAUCCGAACUCUUCCACUUCUUUUCCAUUUGAUGGCUCCCUGUGUUCUCCUCCCCCUGAGCUACGAUGAUUCUUUUAUGACACUUGUGAAUAUGUUUUUUUAAACUUUAGGUGCCUUUUUUAAAAAAAUUAAAACAUAGAAAUCCUCAUGGAUGUUUCAGGAUGUCCUAGUACCUAGAACAUUCGCUACUGGAAUUCCUCUGUGUUUUCAUUGCCCUGGUUGGGAUCCCUUAAAGUGAGUGAACGAGACUCUGUCCUCCCUUCUGGGGGAUGUUUUCUGUGUUGCUGAUUCACCGUGCAGUCUUUAGUCAUCAUUACAGCAUCAGUGAGAUAUAGUUCACAUGUAAUACGAGUCACACUUUAAGGUGUGUAAAUCAGUGUUUUUAAUAUUCUCACAGAAUUGUGCAAUGUCACCACAAUCGAUUUUGGAAGCUUUCCAUCACUGCUCCAGAAGAAACACUCUACUCGUUAGGAGACAGUCCCAUUUCUGCUAAGCCCUCAGACCUAGGCAAACAGAAAUUCAGAUUCUGUUUCUGUGGAUUGGCCUAUUUUGAACAUUGCCUAUAAAUGGAAUCAUACAAUGCGUGGCCUUUUGAGUCUGGCUUCUUUCACU